GAUUAUGGCUCAGGAUGAACGCUAGCGGCAGGCUUAACACAUGCAAGUCGAGGGGCAACGCGAGUAGCAAUACUUGGCGGCGACCGGCGCAAGGGUGCGUAACGCGUGAGCAACAUGCCCGUAUCAGGGGGAUAAUCCAGGGAAACUUGGUCUAAUACCCCAUAGUAAUUUUUGUAAGGCAUCUUAUAAGAUUUAAAGCUUUGGUGGAUACGGAUUGGCUCGCGUGACAUUAGCUGGAUGGUAAGGUAACGGCUUACCAUGGCUAUGAUGUCUAGGGGUUCUGAGAGGAAGGUCCCCCACACUGGAACUGAGACACGGUCCAGACUCCUACGGGAGGCAGCAGUGAGGAAUAUUGGACAAUGGAUGGAAAUCUGAUCCAGCCAUGCCGCGUGAAGGAAGAAGGUCCUAUGGAUUGUAAACUUCUUUUGUAUGGGAGCAAUAAGGCCUACGAGUAGGCUGAUGAGAGUACCAUACGAAUAAGCACCGGCUAACUCCGUGCCAGCCGCGGC
RNAcentral lists this ribosomal RNA (509 nucleotides) under uncultured bacterium. RNAcentral's name for it is "bacterial SSU rRNA". It matches the Rfam family "Bacterial small subunit ribosomal RNA", at positions 15 to 518 of the family's 1533-position model. The record is from RNAcentral.